AAGAUGACUCUCGGCAACGGAUAUCUCGGCUCUUGCAUCGAUGAAGAACGUAGCAAAAUGCGAUACGUGGUGUGAAUUGCAGAAUUCUGUGAACCAUCGAGUUUUUGAACGCAAGUUGCGCCCAAUGUCAUUUGGCUGAGGGCACGCCUGCCUGGGCGUCACGC
This 164-nucleotide ribosomal RNA is filed under the name Elatostema sp. Peng 23849. Its description in RNAcentral is "5.8S ribosomal RNA". It matches the Rfam family "5.8S ribosomal RNA". Rfam says of the family: 5.8S ribosomal RNA (5.8S rRNA) is a component of the large subunit of the eukaryotic ribosome. The record is from RNAcentral. Lineage: Eukaryota; Viridiplantae; Streptophyta; Magnoliopsida; Rosales; Urticaceae.